UCUACAGCCAUACCACCCUGAAUGUGCCCGAUCUCAUCUCGGAAGCUAAGCAUGGUCGGGCCUGGUUAGUGCUUGGAUGGG
RNAcentral lists this microRNA precursor (81 nucleotides) under Tursiops truncatus (common bottlenose dolphin). The record is from RNAcentral. Lineage: Eukaryota; Metazoa; Chordata; Mammalia; Artiodactyla; Delphinidae.